RNAcentral lists this ribosomal RNA (253 nucleotides) under uncultured bacterium. RNAcentral describes it as "partial 16S ribosomal RNA". It matches the Rfam family "Bacterial small subunit ribosomal RNA", at positions 524 to 776 of the family's 1533-position model. The record is from RNAcentral.
GACGUAGGGCGCGAGCGUUGUCCGGAUUUAUUGGGCGUAAAGAGCUCGUAGGCGGUUUGUCGCGUCGUUCGUGAAAACUCACAGCUUAACUGUGAGCUUGCGGUCGAUACGGGCAGGCUAGAGUUCGGUAGGGGAGACUGGAAUUCCUGGUGUAGCGGUGAAACGCGCAGAUAUCAGGAGGAACACCGGUGGCGAAGGCGGGUCUCUGGGCAACAACUGACGCUGAGGAGCGAAGGCGUGGGGAGCGAACAGG